RNAcentral lists this ribosomal RNA (1403 nucleotides) under uncultured bacterium. RNAcentral describes it as "bacterial SSU rRNA". It matches the Rfam family "Bacterial small subunit ribosomal RNA". The record is from RNAcentral.
AGAGUUUGAUCCUGGCUCAGGAUGAACGCUGGCGGCGUGCUUAACACAUGCAAGUCGAACGAAGCGCCUUAUUUGAUUUUCUUCGGAACUGAAGAUUUGGUGACUGAGUGGCGGACGGGUGAGUAACGCGUGGGUAACCUGCCCUGUACAGGGGGAUAACAAUCAGAAAUGACUGCUAAUACCGCAUAAGACCACAGCACCGCAUGGCGCAGGGGUAAAAACUCCGGUGGUACAGGAUGGACCCGCGUCUGAUUAGCUGGUUGGUGAGGUAACGGCUCACCAAGCCAACGAUCAGUAGCCGACCUGAGAGGGUGACCGGCCACAUUGGGACUGAGACACGGCCCAAACUCCUACGGGAGGCAGCAGUGGGGAAUAUUGCACAAUGGGGGAAACCCUGAUGCAGCGACGCCGCGUGAGCGAAGAAGUAUUUCGGUAUGUAAAGCUCUAUCAGCAGGGAAGAAAAUGACGGUACUUGACUAAGAAGCACCGGCUAAAUACGUGCCAGCAGCCGCGGUAAUACGUAUGGUGCAAGCGUUAUCCGGAUUUACUGGGUGUAAAGGGAGCGUAGACGGCUGUGUAAGUCUGAAGUGAAAGCCCGGGGCUCAACCCCGGGACUGCUUUGGAAACUAUGCAGCUAGAGUGUCGGAGAGGUAAGUGGAAUUCCCAGUGUAGCGGUGAAAUGCGUAGAUAUUGGGAGGAACACCAGUGGCGAAGGCGGCUUACUGGACGAUGACUGACGUUGAGGCUCGAAAGCGUGGGGAGCAAACAGGAUUAGAUACCCUGGUAGUCCACGCCGUAAACGAUGAUUUCUAGGUUUGGGGGAGCAAAGCUCUUGGGUGCCGCAGCAAAACGCAAUAAGUAGUCCACCUGGGGGAGUACGUUCGCAAGAAUGAAACUCAAAGGAAUUGACGGGGGCCCGCACAAGCAGCGGAGCAUGUGGUUUUAAUUUGACGCAACGCGAAAAACCUUACCAGAACUUGACAUCCCGAUGAAAGAAAAUGGAGACAUAUUCCCUUUACUUCGGUAGACAUCGGAGACAGGUGGUGCAUGGUUGUCGUCAGCUCGUGUCGUGAGAUGUUGGGUUAAGUCCCGCAACGAGCGCAACCCUUAUUGCUAGUUACCAGCGGGUAAAGCCGGGGACUCUAGCGAGACUGCCGUGGAUAACACGGAGGAAGGUGGGGAUGACGUCAAAUCAUCAUGCCCCUUACGUUCUGGGCUACACACGUGCUACAAUGGUCUGAAACAAAGAGAAGCGAAGCCGUAAGGUGGAGCAAACCUCAAAAACCAGAUCCCAGUUCGGAUUGUGGGCUGAAACCCGCCCACAUGAAGCCGGAGUUGCUAGUAAUCGCGAAUCAGCAUGUCGCGGUGAAUGCGUUCCCGGGCCUUGCACACACCGCCCGUCA